RNAcentral lists this unclassified non-coding RNA (500 nucleotides) under Hevea brasiliensis (rubber tree). Lineage: Eukaryota; Viridiplantae; Streptophyta; Magnoliopsida; Malpighiales; Euphorbiaceae. The record is from RNAcentral.
CGAACCAGAGCAUUCAUAGCCCCAGCCUUCUUAUGGUGCUCAAAACCUGGUCUCUUCUCACGAGAAACAUAAACCAAACGUGGUAACUCAUUCCCUUCCACAUCACGGACACCACUGUUACCAAGGAAGACCUGAAUCAUGCCAGGAUGAUCUCGUACGUUGUUUCCAGGCCAUGCAGUUCCAUCCUGCAUUGUCCAACCAUCUUCUGGAACUUUUUGUGCAGUGGCAACCAAUCCAUUGAUCCGAACUUUGAAUUCUUCAUAUUCUCUCUUCAUUGCACGCCUCUCCCUCACAAAAGAUGGGUGGACUUUAUUUUUCAAAUAGUCAAUCUUCUGAGAAAAAUACCACUCAGGUGCUCGGGGCUCAAUAUUAAAUUUCUUACAGAAAGGAACCCAUUUCCUUGCAAAUUCAGAUGUCUCAGAGAGUGCCUCAAAUGUCAGCAUGGCAGCACCAUCGUCUGACACAUAGCACGCAACCUUAUCCACAGGAUAAUCAACCGC